This 542-nucleotide ribosomal RNA is filed under the name uncultured Burkholderiales bacterium. RNAcentral describes it as "bacterial SSU rRNA". It matches the Rfam family "Bacterial small subunit ribosomal RNA", at positions 384 to 919 of the family's 1533-position model. Lineage: Bacteria; Pseudomonadati; Pseudomonadota; Betaproteobacteria; Burkholderiales. The record is from RNAcentral.
UGAUCAGCCACGCCGCGUGAGUGAUGAAGGCCUUCGGGUUGUAAAGCGCUUUCGGCCGCUGCUGAAGAGGACGGUGCUAAUACCACGGGCUCCUGACGGCACCCUGAGAACAAGCACCGGCUAACGACGGGCCAGCAGCCGCGGCAAUACGUAGGGGGCAAGCGUUAAUCGGAAUUACUGGGCGAAAAGCGUGCGCAGGCGGCCAUGUAAGACAGGUGAGAAAUCCCCGGGCUUAACCUGGGAACUGCGUUAGAGACUGGGGGGCUAGAGUGCGGCAGAGGGGGAUGGAAUUCCGCGUGGAGGAGCGAAAUGCGUAGAUAUGCGGAGGAACACCGAUGGCGAAGGCGAUCCCCUGGACCUGCACUGACGCUCAUGCACAAAAGCGUGGGGAGCAAACAAGAUUAGAUACCCUGGUUUUUUACGCCCUAAACGAUGUGAACUGGGUGUUGGGUCUUCACUGACUCGGUAACCAAGCUAACGCGUGAAGUUGACCGCCGGGGGAGGACCGCCGCCAGGAUUAAACUCCAAGGAAUUGAGCGGGA